RNAcentral lists this long non-coding RNA (5381 nucleotides) under Sus scrofa (pig). RNAcentral describes it as "lncRNA (ENSSSCG00015020077.1)". Lineage: Eukaryota; Metazoa; Chordata; Mammalia; Artiodactyla; Suidae. The record is from RNAcentral.
GGGAUUUGACUAUACUAUAGAAGUGCCCCUCUUCCUAUCUCGUUGUUUGCUUCUUCUUUGUCUUUGGAUAUAAAAUAUCUUUUUAGGUAGUGUCAACUUAAAAAAAAUGCACAACUUGAAAGUUGAGAGUUAAGUUUUAUUUGGGGCAAAAUUAGGACUUAAGCCCAGGAGAGAGCAUCUCAAGUAGCCCUGAGAAAGCCACUCAGAGGAGGCAAAAGGGGGAACUAGGCUAUAUAGGAACUUUUUCAACAAAGAGCAGGUAGUGGGAACAAAAGAUUUAUAGAAAACGAGAUACUUCAAGUUAAGGAAUUCAGCAAGUUUCUAUGGGAAGGUGCAAAGGUCUGGGCUUAUUUACCUUUAAUACAUACCUCAGCCAUCAGCGCCAGUAUUCUUUCUUUCUUUCUUGAGCUCCCUCAGCGCUCACUGGCUCAUCCUUGGGAGUGGCUGCACUCACAGAUGACCAUUACAUCUUUUUAUUUAGUGUUUUUCUAGAUAUGAGGAGAUGCAAGAAGUGGGCUAAUAAAAUCAUCUCCUAAAAAUAUCUAAUUAUCUGAAGACCUGUUCUUCCAGUUUUCCUGAAGCACAGACUGCCUCACUCCUGAUCCACUCGGGUGGCACUGCAAGUCGGCAACUGCAGUGGCUCAUGAUUUAAUUCAUGUGGAGGCAGAUGGCAAGUGAUGGCAAGUGCCUAACUCCAGCUCAGAGUAAUUUCCAGUCAUUUCUGUCAAUGGUUGUUUACAAGUUAGUGAUGGUUUGGGUAUUUUUGUGAAAGGAAGGGAGCUCAAGUCCUUCUAUUCCGCCAUCUGGACUGGAAUCAAGGGGGGUUUCUUUUAGUUUGGAUGCUUGCUGCCUCUUUCCUCAGCAUGUGCUAGCCAUCAUCCCUUUGAUAUGGUGUGUGCAGGUAUGGUGGCCCUUGUGCCCUCUUGGGACAGUAAGGGUAGGGCUUGGUAUCUACUUAUGAGUCUCAAAGGGGUGGCCAUGACCUCUGUCUCCACCUCUGGAGCCCACUAUGGUGGCAGCAGUGGCUGGCACUCACCCCUAGAACUCUUGCAGGUGGUGUUCUGUUGCCGGAGAGGGAAAGAAGUUCUUACAGUGGUCCUUCCCCUCUCACUGCAAACCACCCAACGUUGACUUGGCUCUAUGCUGGGCUCAGGCUUCCUCCAUAUACACUCUCAUGUGCCAUAGUCCAGCCGCUUCAGGCUAUCUCUAUGCAGCCAUGCCUGGUCCUUUCCCUAGCUCUGAUCUCUGAAACCUGAGCUUCAGCCCCCAGCCCCCACCCAUACUAGCAAAUAAGUAUCUCAAGCUGGGGAGUACAAGGCAGCAGUGCUGACCCUCAGGGCAGUUCACUCUCUACUUUGCCUUCCACAAACCAGAUGCUGUGCUCUCCUGCUAGGCUCUGAAGCUCCAUCUCCAUCCAGGCUGAUCUCCCCACUGGCUGGUGAGGGACUUCUCCGUGUGCGGGAACCCUUCCUCCUUCUCAUCUCCCUGGGGGCACAGGCCACAUCCCAAUUCCUUUAUCUCUCUUUCUUCCUUUUCUCCUACCCAGUUACAUGGAGGUGUUAUCAGUGUCUGCUUUUAAGAAUAUGUAAGGAGCAGAGACAGGAUCAAGAUGGUAGAGGAGGAAGGCAUGUAGCUCACUUCCUCCCGCAAAAACAUUAACACUCCAACUGCAAGCAGGAUGUUUCACCCAGAACAUCUACUGAAUGCUGGCGGAAGACCUCAGACUGAAAGAAUUUAGAGAAAGAACUUUCUCUGGAAAAGCAGUUAGUAGAUAUACAUGCAAAUAACAUGGGCUAAGUAUGGUAGAAGGCAACUUGGUAGGGCCUAGAGAUCAAGGUCCAUUGUCCAUUGUCUCUGGAAGGCUCAGAGGGUUUUGACCAUUUUGAUGAGUUACUCGGUUCUUCUGGGUCUCUCCCAUGUAUACAUCUUAUUAAACUUUUGUUUGAUUUUCUCCUGUUUAUCUGCUUCAUGCCAAUUUAGGCCAAUCAGAAGAGCUUAGAAGAGCAGAGGAAAUUUUUUCUUCAUGACAACAGAGAAUAGAUGCAUAAAAAUAGAUGAUCUGGCUUUAAGACAUACAAGUGAAUUAGACUGUACAGUCUGAUAGUAACAGGGCUGUGGUUAUCAUUGAUUAUAAAAUAAAAUAAAAUAAAACUCAUGACUUGGAUUUGAGUGCCUUUAUGUAAAUAAUGUUGAAUUUUACUGCCUUUGUUUCCUUCAAUUUGUCAUUCAUCAUGUGUACUAAAUUUUAAAGUUAUUUUUGUAGAAAUCGUUAUUUUAAAGUUUUUUUUCUUGAUUUUUAUUUAGUGCAUUAGUUGUGCUUCUCCUUUUGGUGGAAAGGAUUUAGUUUCUUAAACAAAAUGCUGGUUUGGAAUGCUCUUUUCAAAUCCUAACUAUACAUUCCAAUUUUUAAUGAAUUUACUUCCACACAAAGUCAAGCAAAUUUUUAGGACUUCUUAUUGAUUACGUUGAAUUAUUAUUUGAAAGCUUCAGAGUUUUUUGAAGGAAUAUUUUAAAACGAUUGGCAAUUAGAUGGAAUGCAGUGCAUUUCUAAAAUAGAAGAUCAUAAUUUGAAACACAUAUCAUUUUAGAAAUCAUAAAAUUGUCAUAUUUGACAAGCUUCCUAUUGUAUGCAGUUGUACAUUGUUGCAAUAUUCCAUUACUUCAUUUCAAAUGGUAAAACAACAAAGCCCUAAGAGACAUUUUUUCUAUAUUUCUGCAUCUUUUCAUAUUUGUGAUUGUUAAAAGUUAGCACUUCUUGUGGAGUUUUCUCUCUUUUCCACUAAAAUCUUUUAAGAACCUCUUUUUUUUUAACCUCACAAGGGAUCUGCAAAGUCUAUCUGCUAUGGUCUCCAUGCUUAUCUCCACUCAGCCUUAGGAGGAGAUUCAGAGUCUCACAGUUGGUGGAAAAAAAUGAGGCAAUAUCCAUGGGGAUGAUGCCACCCUCAUUUCAUUUCUUUUUGUAAGUGCUAUCUGUCACACUAAACAGAAGGGACCAAGGCACUUGCCUCCAAAGACAUCUGAAAAUUUAUGACUUGGUGUACCAAUGGAAUAAAAAUCCAGGAACUAAUCUUGCUAACCUUAUGAAAGAAGUUUGAAGUAUUUAUCUGAUGUGGAGCUGGUAGAUAUACAGUCAAACAAGCUGAGAGUCCAAAUUGCAAAAUUCAGGAUCAGCUAGUUGUAGGAAGAUGUGACUGAGUCUUUGCUGCUGAUAUAAGUGCUCAGGGUAAAGCAGAAUCCGUGUUUUUGUUUUCUAUGUGUUUCAUGAGCAGAGCAAUUGGGGCAGCCAGGUCAGCAGAUGAAAUGCCGCAUAUGUAGGGGAAAAAAAACUAUUCUGUCAUUACCAUGUUAUGAUCCAAUCUACCUAAAUUAUGCUCAGAUGCCAUGUUUAAGUUUCAUCCUAGGAAGGUAGCUUUUGUUUUGUUCAAAUUGCAUUUUUUCCCAAAUGAUCUUGUAAAAAUCUUCAGAAGCCUCACUUGUGGUGUGCCCGUCCCAAAGUAGAGAUAUGUUUAUAUUUAAUUACAGGUACAGAACUGAAAGGCCACAUGCAGAGGACACACAAUUCCACGUGGCUGUUUUGUGAGCCACAGCCGUAUUAACCAAACAUGCAUCUGUUGGGGCCCAAGGCAGGGUGCCCCAAAAUAUGCCUUAAUGGUAUGUUGAUUAUUCUGAAUGAAAGGCACUUAAGAAAUGAUCUAUGUAAGAGGGAUACUUUGAUCUUCCUUCCUGUCUCCCUAAAAGCAGAAAAUAAAUCUCAUGUGAAAAGCACACUUUUUACAUUUGGAGGAAGACUCUUAUUAUGAGAGAUAGGGAAUUCAGGGCUGAGAAGCCUGUAUACACAAAUCUUUUUGCUUCUUUAAUUUAUUGCCACAGGCCCAAACUCUGUUUAGACUCUUCACAAAUUUAAGCACUCAAAGCCUAAUUUUUCUUUUGUCUAUUCCUCACAAAUGUAUUGUUUCUUUGUCUAAAAAGUACAAAAGCUACCUGCUUUGUCCACUUUUUAGGUCCUAUUUCUAUGAGACCUCUGUGCCCACAAAUUAAAAAAUUUGUUUCUUUUUCUCUGUUAAUCUGUCCAGUGUCAAUUUUAUUACUUAAGAACCUAGAGGGGAAAUUUCCCCAUCCCUGACACAUACAUAAGCUGCUCUACUUCUAUUUGUCCUAACUUUUUCAACAGCAGAGUGACAAGAAUAAUAGCAUCAAUUUUAUAGAGUUGUUAAAAUAAUUAAAUGGGCAAUCAAUACAAAGAACUUAGCAGUGGACAUACAGCAAAUUGCCAAUAACUAUUAACCAGUAGUUACUAGUUUUGUGUUUACAUAUAUGUAAGACUCUAUUAGUCAUAACAUGGUAAUAAUACACAUCAGACAUUGUAUUAGGUGUAACAUUAAGUAGGAACACUCUUCUUUUGGAAAUUCACAGUGUCAAUCAAAACCACCACACCCCUCCCCAAAAAAGAAAACAAACAAGACUGAAUAAGGGUGGAAAUAAGAAAAUAAUUUAUUUAUGGUCAUAAGAAUUACAAUUUGGGAGACAGAGAUUUGGGUAAAACCUAAACAGUGUUCCAGGGAAGAGAAAGAGUAAGGGGAUUAUAAAUGCAAAAGCCAUGAGGUUUUUCACACUAGAAAAGAAACAUCUGUCCUUAAGGGAUGGCUCUCACUAGUUAGUUAUUGUAGCACUAAAGGUCUGAUAAGGAUCUUGAGUUUCUGGUAGAUAUUAUAGAUGCCUUUAUUACGACAGUAAGUGGUUAUAAGACCAGAUACCAUCCUGGCUGAGAGUCAUGUAUAACUCAGGGAUCUUCAGUGGCCUCCCAGCUCCAUUUUAGAGAGAUCGCUUAAUAAUACUGUCUCCAUUGUAAUUUUCCCUCAACGACAGGCCCCUGGGAGAGUAAGAUGGUAUUUUGUGCAAAAUGCUUAGAGAGAGUUUUGAAAGAACAGGAAUGUACAGCAGUUAAUCCUACCUAAUAGAAGCAAGCAUAAUUUUGGAAAGAAAGUUAUAUUUGCCAUAUAAUUUCAAAGUACAUAAAGCAAAGGGGAAAUUAGGGGCAAAGGCCUGGGAUAGUUAGAGGGUGUACCCUUUUGGGGGUAUAUUGAGUAAUGUAGGGCUCAGAGUUCAAGUAUUAUGGAGUUGAAUCUGAGGAAUCUGAUUGGUUUACAAUUAAGCCAUAAAGAAACAAUGAGCUAUUACACAUUUAUUAAAUAAUAAUGAAAAUGCUUAUUAUUAGAGACAUCACUACUGGUAUUUGUUUGCAUACUUACCAACAUUAUUUCUCAACAACCAAGAAACACAACAUAAAACACAUUAUCUUAAACAAUAUCUUCCUCUUUUUAUAAAGAAAAAGAGGGUGGUUUGUCCAGAAUUUAUCUCAGUUAUUUUAUAUAAGUCUAAAU